This 200-nucleotide ribosomal RNA is filed under the name uncultured bacterium. RNAcentral's name for it is "partial 16S ribosomal RNA". It matches the Rfam family "Bacterial small subunit ribosomal RNA", at positions 28 to 230 of the family's 1533-position model. The record is from RNAcentral.
GAUGAACGCUAGCGGCAGGCUUAACACAUGCAAGUCGAGGGGUAGAGGGGCUUGCUCCUUCGAGACCGGCGCACGGGUGCGUAACGCGUAUGCAAUCUGCCUUGUACAAAGGGAUAGCCCAGAGAAAUUUGGAUUAAUACCUUAUAGUAUAGCGAUAUGGCAUCAUAUGGCUAUUAAAGAUUUAUCGGUACAAGAUGAGC